GUUGAUAAGGUUAAGUGAAUAAGGGCGCACGGUGGAUGCCUUGGCACUAGGAGCCGAUGAAGGACGGGACUAACACCGAUAUGCUUUGGGGAGCUGUAAGUAAGCUAUGAUCCAGAGAUUUCCGAAUGGGGGAACCCAAUAUCUUUUAUAGGAUAUUACUUUUCAGUGAAUACAUAGCUGAUUAGAGGUAGACGCAGAGAACUGAAACAUCUUAGUACCUGCAGGAAGAGAAAGAAAAUUCGAUUCCCUGAGUAGCGGCGAGCGAAACGGGAAGAGCCCAAACCAACAAGCUUGCUUGUUGGGGUUGUAGGACUCCAAUAUGGUAGUCUGUUAGUAUAGUUGAAGGAUUUGGAAAAUUCCGCUAAAGAGGGUGAAAGCCCCGUAGACGAAAUGCUAACAACACCUAGGAGGAUCCUGAGUACGGCGGAACACGAGAAAUUCCGUCGGAAUCCGCGGGGACCAUCCCGCAAGGCUAAAUACUCCCUAGUGACCGAUAGUGAACCAGUACCGUGAGGGAAAGGUGAAAAGCACCCCGGAAGGGGAGUGAAAUAGAUCCUGAAACCGUGUGCCUACAACAAGUCAAAGCUCGUUAAUGAGUGAUGGCGUGCCUUUUGUAGAAUGAACCGGCGAGUUACGAUUGCAUGCGAGGUUAAGUCGAAGAGACGGAGCCGCAGCGAAAGCGAGUCUGAAUAGGGCGAAUGAGUAUGUAGUCGUAGACCCGAAACCAUGUGAUCUACCCAUGUCCAGGUUGAAGGUGCGGUAAAACGCACUGGAGGACCGAACCCACGUACGUUGAAAAGUGCGGGGAUGAGGUGUGGGUAGCGGAGAAAUUCCAAACGAACUUGGAGAUAGCUGGUUCUCUCCGAAAUAGCUUUAGGGCUAGCCUCGGAAUUGAGAAUGAUGGAGGUAGAGCACUGUUUGGACUAGGGGCCCAUCUCGGGUUACCGAAUUCAGAUAAACUCCGAAUGCCAUUCAUUUAUAUCCGGGAGUCAGACUGCGAGUGAUAAGAUCCGUAGUCGAAAGGGAAACAGCCCAGACCACCAGCUAAGGUCCCAAAAUAUAUGUUAAGUGGAAAAGGAUGUGGGGUUGCACAGACAACUAGGAUGUUGGCUUAGAAGCAGCCACCAUUUAAAGAGUGCGUAAUAGCUCACUAGUCGAGUGACCCUGCGCCGAAAAUGUACCGGGGCUAAACAUAUUACCGAAGCUGUGGACUACACCAUUAGGUGUAGUGGUAGGAGAGCGUUCUAAGGGCGUUGAAGGUCGAUCGUGAGGACGGCUGGAGCGCUUAGAAGUGAGAAUGCCGGUAUGAGUAGCGAAAGACAGGUGAGAAUCCUGUCCACCGUAUGACUAAGGUUUCCUGGGGAAGGCUCGUCCGCCCAGGGUUAGUCGGGACCUAAGCCGAGGCCGAUAGGCGUAGGCGAUGGACAACAGGUUGAUAUUCCU
This 1443-nucleotide ribosomal RNA is filed under the name Enterococcus faecalis. RNAcentral describes it as "partial 23S ribosomal RNA". It matches the Rfam family "Bacterial large subunit ribosomal RNA", at positions 1 to 1440 of the family's 2925-position model. Lineage: Bacteria; Bacillati; Bacillota; Bacilli; Lactobacillales; Enterococcaceae. The record is from RNAcentral.